RNAcentral lists this ribosomal RNA (1346 nucleotides) under uncultured bacterium. Its description in RNAcentral is "partial 16S ribosomal RNA". It matches the Rfam family "Bacterial small subunit ribosomal RNA", at positions 28 to 1381 of the family's 1533-position model. The record is from RNAcentral.
GACGAACGCUGGCGGCGUGCUUAACACAUGCAAGUCGAACGGAAAGGCCCUGCUUUUGUGGGGUGCUCGAGUGGCGAACGGGUGAGUAACACGUGAGUAACCUGCCCUUGACUUUGGGAUAACUUCAGGAAACUGGGGCUAAUACCGGAUAGGAGCUCCUGCCGCAUGGUGGGGGUUGGAAAGUUUCGGCGGUUGGGGAUGGACUCGCGGCUUAUCAGCUUGUUGGUGGGGUAGUGGCUUACCAAGGCUUUGACGGGUAGCCGGCCUGAGAGGGUGACCGGCCACAUUGGGACUGAGAUACGGCCCAGACUCCUACGGGAGGCAGCAGUGGGGAAUAUUGCACAAUGGGCGGAAGCCUGAUGCAGCAACGCCGCGUGCGGGAUGACGGCCUUCGGGUUGUAAACCGCUUUCGCCUGUGACGAAGCGUGAGUGACGGUAAUGGGUAAAGAAGCACCGGCUAACUACGUGCCAGCAGCCGCGGUGAUACGUAGGGUGCGAGCGUUGUCCGGAUUUAUUGGGCGUAAAGGGCUCGUAGGUGGUUGAUCGCGUCGGAAGUGUAAUCUUGGGGCUUAACCCUGAGCGUGCUUUCGAUACGGGUUGACUUGAGGAAGGUAGGGGAGAAUGGAAUUCCUGGUGGAGCGGUGGAAUGCGCAGAUAUCAGGAGGAACACCAGUGGCGAAGGCGGUUCUCUGGGCCUUUCCUGACGCUGAGGAGCGAAAGCGUGGGGAGCGAACAGGCUUAGAUACCCUGGUAGUCCACGCUGUAAACGGUGGGUACUAGGUGUGGGGUCCAUUCCACGGGUUCCGUGCCGUAGCUAACGCUUUAAGUACCCCGCCUGGGGAGUACGGCCGCAAGGCUAAAACUCAAAGGAAUUGACGGGGCCCCGCACAAGCGGCGGAGCAUGCGGAUUAAUUCGAUGCAACGCGUAGAACCUUACCUGGGUUUGACAUGGAUCGGGAGUGCUCAGAGAUGGGUGUGCCUCUUUUGGGGUCGGUUCACAGGUGGUGCAUGGCUGUCGUCAGCUCGUGUCGUGAGAUGUUGGGUUAAGUCCCGCAACGAGCGCAACCCUUGUUCACUGUUGCCAGCACGUUAUGGUGGGGACUCAGUGGAGACCGCCGGGGUCAACUCGGAGGAAGGUGGGGAUGACGUCAAGUCAUCAUGCCCCUUAUGUCCAGGGCUUCACGCAUGCUACAAUGGCUGGUACAGAGGGUGGCGAGCCUGUGAGGGUGAGCGAAUCUCGGAAAGCCGGUCUCAGUUCGGAUUGGGGUCUGCAACUCGACCUCAUGAAGUCGGAGUCGCUAGUAAUCGCAGAUCAGCAACGCUGCGGUGAAUACGUUCCCGGGGCU